This 253-nucleotide ribosomal RNA is filed under the name uncultured bacterium. Its description in RNAcentral is "partial 16S ribosomal RNA". It matches the Rfam family "Bacterial small subunit ribosomal RNA", at positions 524 to 776 of the family's 1533-position model. The record is from RNAcentral.
GACGGAAGGUGCAAGCGUUGCUCGGAAUCACUGGGCGUAAAGGGUGCGUAGGCGGCCGUGCAAGUCUGGCGUGAAAGCCCCGGGCUCAGCCCGGGAAGUGCGCUCGAAACUGCGCGGCUCGAGUGCCGGAGGGGAGAGUGGAAUUCCUGGUGUAGCGGUGAAAUGCGCAGAUGUCAGGAGGAACACCGGUGGCGAAGGCGGGUCUCUGGGCAGUAACUGACGCUGAGGAGCGAAAGCGUGGGGAGCGAACAGG